GGGGGCGACACGGCUUCGACGUGUCUGGGAAACUCGAAGCUGCGUGCCGAGGUCCGGGGGCCUCGCUAAUCCUCCUCGGGAAUCACACAACUGCCAACUCCGACUUGGCUCUGGCCGCUUAGACAAGCAGCCCGUUUCCCGGUCUGCCCGCCCGAGGCGGGCCGCGGAAGCGUCGACGAUUCGGGCUGGUUCUCCGGUUUGGGCUACCGGACGGGAGAACGAGAUUUCAGGUAGCUAGCCCGGUGCGGGCGGUUCGCCGGCCCGCGCCGAAGGCGAAUCCGAACGGCGUUCUACGCACGUAGAAGCUUGGAAGGACUCAUUCGCGGACGCGGGUUCGACUCCCGCCGCCUCCACUC
This 356-nucleotide transfer-messenger RNA is filed under the name Gemmatimonadota bacterium. It matches the Rfam family "transfer-messenger RNA". From Rfam's summary of the family: Bacterial tmRNA, also known as 10Sa RNA or SsrA, is named for its dual tRNA and mRNA-like properties. Its role is to liberate the mRNA from a stalled ribosome. To accomplish this part of the tmRNA is used as a reading frame that ends in a translation stop signal. The record is from RNAcentral. Lineage: Bacteria; Pseudomonadati; Gemmatimonadota.